GGUAGUAAUACAAGGCAGACGGCUCAGUAACGCGAUAGUCAACCUAACCUAUGGACGGGAAUAACCUCGGGAAACUGAGUAUAAUGCCCGAUAGAACAUUAUGCCUGGAAUGGUUUAUGUUCCAAAUGAUUUAUCGCCGUAGGAUGGGACUGCGGCCUAUCAGUUUGUUGGUGAGGUAAUGGCCCACCAAGACUAUUACAGGUACGGGCUCUGAGAGGAGUGGCCCGGAGAUGGGUACUGAGACACGGACCCAGGCCCUAUGGGGCGCAGCAGGCGAGAAAACUUUGCAAUGUGCGAAAGCACGACAAGGUUAAUCCGAGUGGUUUCUGCUAAAGGAACCUUUUGUCAGUCCUAGAAACACUGAUGAAUAAGGGGUGGGCAAGCUCUGGUGUCAGCCGCCGCGGUAAAACCAGCACCUCAAGUGGUCAGGAUGAUUAUUGGGCCUAAAGCAUCCGUAGCCGGCUCUGUAAGUUUUCGGUUAAAUCUGUACGCUUAACGUACAGGCUGCCGGGAAUACUGCAGAGCUAGGGAGUGGGAGAGGUAGACGGUACUCGGUAGGAAGGGGUAAAAUCCUUUGAUCUAUUGAUGACCACCUGUGGCGAAGGCGGUCUACCAGAACACGUCCGACGGUGAGGGAUGAAAGCUGGGGGAGCAAACCGGAUUAGAUACCCGGGUAGUCCCAGCUGUAAACCAUGCAAACUCAGUGAUGCAUUGGCUUGUGGCCAAUGCAGUGCUGCAGGGAAGCCGUUAAGUUUGCCGCCUGGGAAGUACGUAC
This 775-nucleotide ribosomal RNA is filed under the name uncultured archaeon. RNAcentral's name for it is "bacterial SSU rRNA". It matches the Rfam family "Archaeal small subunit ribosomal RNA", at positions 64 to 842 of the family's 1478-position model. The record is from RNAcentral.